Molecule: ribosomal RNA, 477 nt
Filed under: uncultured bacterium
Lineage: Bacteria
Description: bacterial SSU rRNA
Rfam family: Bacterial small subunit ribosomal RNA
Source: RNAcentral
GACGAACGCUGGCGGCGUGCUUAACACAUGCAAGUCGAACGGAAAGGCCCUUCGGGGUACUCGAGUGGCGAACGGGUGAGUAACACGUGGGUGAUCUGCCCUGCACUUUGGGAUAAGCCUGGGAAACUGGGUCUAAUACCGAAUAGGACCACGGGCUUCAUGGUCUGUGGUGGAAAGCUUUUGCGGUGUGGGAUGGGCCCGCGGCCUAUCAGCUUGUUGGUGGGGUAAUGGCCUACCAAGGCGACGACGGGUAGCCGGCCUGAGAGGGUGACCGGCCACACUGGGACUGAGAUACGGCCCAGACUCCUACGGGAGGCAGCAGUGGGGAAUCUUGCGCAAUGGGCGAAAGCCUGACGCAGCAACGCCGCGUGCGGGAUGACGGCCUUCGGGUUGUAAACCGCUUUCAGUGGGGACGAAAUCAGACGGUACCCACAGAAGAAGCCCCGGCCAACUACGUGCCAGCCGCCGCAGUAAAAC